CAGUCGCCGCGGUAAUACAGAGGGUGCAAGCGUUAAUCGGAAUUACUGGGCGUAAAGCGCGCGUAGGUGGUUCGCCAAGUUGGAUGUGAAAUCCCCGGGCUCAACCUGGGAACUGCAUCCAAAACUGGCGAGCUAGAGUAUGGUAGAGGGUGGUGGAAUUUCCUGUGUAGCGGUGAAAUGCGUAGAUAUAGGAAGGAACAUCUGUGGCGAAGGCGACUAUCUGGGCCAACACUGACACUGAGGCACGAAAGCGUGGGGAGCAAACAGGAUUAGAUACCCGGGUAGUCCCUGUCUCUUAUAC
This 301-nucleotide ribosomal RNA is filed under the name uncultured bacterium. Its description in RNAcentral is "partial 16S ribosomal RNA". It matches the Rfam family "Bacterial small subunit ribosomal RNA", at positions 509 to 807 of the family's 1533-position model. The record is from RNAcentral.